ACGUGGGUGAUCUACCUCUGAGUGGGGGAUAACGUUCCGAAAGGAGCGCUAAUACCGCAUGACGUCCCGGGUUUGAAGACCUGGACACCAAAGUCGGGGACCGCAAGGCCUGACGCUUGGAGAGGAGCCCGCGCCUGAUUAGCUAGUUGGUGAGGUAACGGCUCACCAAGGCGACGAUCAGUAGCCGGCCUGAGAGGGCGGACGGCCACACUGGGACUGAGACACGGCCCAGACUCCUACGGGAGGCAGCAGUGGGGAAUUGUUCGCAAUGGGCGCAAGCCUGACGACGCAACGCCGCGU
This 300-nucleotide ribosomal RNA is filed under the name uncultured Acidobacteriota bacterium. Its description in RNAcentral is "bacterial SSU rRNA". It matches the Rfam family "Bacterial small subunit ribosomal RNA", at positions 115 to 402 of the family's 1533-position model. The record is from RNAcentral. Lineage: Bacteria; Pseudomonadati; Acidobacteriota.